Molecule: ribosomal RNA, 449 nt
Filed under: uncultured bacterium
Lineage: Bacteria
Description: partial 16S ribosomal RNA
Rfam family: Bacterial small subunit ribosomal RNA
Source: RNAcentral
AACGAACGCUGGCGGCAUGCCUAACACAUGCAAGUCGAACGAGACCUUCGGGUCUAGUGGCGCACGGGUGCGUAACGCGUGGGAAUCUGCCCUUGGGUUCGGGAUAACAGUUGGAAACGACUGCUAAUACCGGAUGAUGUCUUCGGACCAAAGAUUUAUCGCCCAAGGAUGAGCCCGCGUAGGAUUAGCUUGUUGGUGAGGUAAGAGCUCACCAAGGCGACGAUCCUUAGCUGGUCUGAGAGGAUGAUCAGCCACACUGGGACUGAGACACGGCCCAGACUCCUACGGGAGGCAGCAGUGGGGAAUAUUGGACAAUGGGCGAAAGCCUGAUCCAGCAAUGCCGCGUGAGUGAUGAAGGCCUUAGGGUUGUAAAGCUCUUUUACCCGGGAUGAUAAUGACAGUACCGGGAGAAUAAGCCCCGGCUAACUCCGUGCCAGCCGCCGCCGUAA